Melitaea cinxia (Glanville fritillary) is the source of this 394-nucleotide long non-coding RNA. RefSeq lists it as uncharacterized. NCBI's taxonomy places the organism in Eukaryota, Metazoa, Arthropoda, Insecta, Lepidoptera, Nymphalidae. The transcript has 2 exons. The record is from RefSeq and is a predicted model, not a curated record.
UGCCGUCCGCGGACGGCGCCCUGCGGGUCGGUUGCUCGUGUUAUGAACUUACGACCGCCUGCUUACUUAUGCCGCCCUAAUUGAAAGCGGACUGCGUAGCAUACGCGCCGUCGCUGGUGACCAGCUGUCGCGCCGGAGUAUCUUUAUCUUUUUCUUUCUCCUUUCCACUACCGUCCUGCGCACUUUCCUCCUCCUAUAUAUAUCAAGAAUUAUAAAAAUUACAUAUGCCUUAACAAAUCAUAGAAAUAAUGUGUAAAUGUAUAAGUAUGUCGCGUGCGUUUUGCAGUUAUAAAUCUGACAGAUCAGCUUAUCUAUAUCGCAUGUUACACCUGACUUGCUGCUGCUGAUUAUUGUAAAUAAAAGAUAUAAAAAUAAAAGGUAAAAUGUAAAUAUA